Long non-coding RNA from Solanum dulcamara, 170 nucleotides. RefSeq lists it as uncharacterized. The record is from RefSeq and is a predicted model, not a curated record. Lineage: Eukaryota; Viridiplantae; Streptophyta; Magnoliopsida; Solanales; Solanaceae. The transcript is spliced from 3 exons.
GUGUCUCACGAGAUGGACUGGUGCUGAUGGGAAAAAGAUAUGCAACAACAAAGAUGAAGACAAAUGUAUAGUUGCUUAUACUUCAAGCCACUCUAUUUGAUCAUUGCUAUGUGGAAUCCAUUCAGCGCCAAGUUUAAGUGCUUCUGACAUGGACCAGCAAAGUAGAUCUC